This 440-nucleotide ribosomal RNA is filed under the name uncultured bacterium. Its description in RNAcentral is "partial 16S ribosomal RNA". It matches the Rfam family "Bacterial small subunit ribosomal RNA", at positions 338 to 795 of the family's 1533-position model. The record is from RNAcentral.
CCUACGGGUGGCUGCAGUGGGGAAUAUUGCACAAUGGACGGAACUCUGAUGCAGCGACGCCGCGUGAGUGAAGAAGUAAUUCGUUAUGUUAAACUCUAUCAGCAGGGAAGAAAAUGACGGUACCUGAAACAGAAGCUCCGGCGAAAUACGUGCCAGCAGCCGCGGUAAUACGUAUGGAGCAAGCGUUAUCCGGAUUUUAGGGGGGUAAAGGGAGAGUAGGUGGCAGAGCAAGUCCGGAGGGAAAACCCAAAGCUCAACUCUGGGAAUGCUUUAGAAACCGCAUAGCUAGAGUGCAGGAGAGGCAAGUGGAAUGCGUAGUGUAGCGGUGAAAUGCGUAGAUAUUACGAGGAACACCGGUGGCGAAGGCAGCUUGCUGGACUGUAACUGACGCUGAGGCUCGAAAGCGUGGGGAGCAAACAGGAGUAGAUACCCCAGUAGUC